CUAUUCUAACUAGUCUGAUUUUUGACAUCCCUGAUCUGGAUAUAUUUCUUGAGUAUCUGAUUACUUGUUUCAGCUUGACUUUGGUUUGUUUUUGACCUCCCUUUACCUAUUACGCUCAUUUAACCCAGCCACUCUAAUAACUGGUAUACGUACUUACUUUUCUUUUCUGACUGUCCCUUUUUGGUGGGUUCAUACACUGUGUGUUGGGCUGUACAUAACAUUGACACUAGGAGUCUCUAGCUAUAAUCCAACUUUUUGGGAUGUGUAAUUCCAAAGCUACCUUUUGAAUCUUUUUAAACAUUGAUAAGAGAGCCUUAAGAAAUGCAAGGUAAAAAGGCGGUUAAAG
Non-coding RNA from Pelobates cultripes (western spadefoot toad), 346 nucleotides. The record is from the annotation of a GenBank genome assembly. Lineage: Eukaryota; Metazoa; Chordata; Amphibia; Anura; Pelobatidae.